RNAcentral lists this small RNA (2629 nucleotides) under Pan troglodytes (chimpanzee). RNAcentral's name for it is "processed transcript". Lineage: Eukaryota; Metazoa; Chordata; Mammalia; Primates; Hominidae. The record is from RNAcentral.
AGGUCCCGGCGCCCAGAGUCGCCGCGCGGCCGCCGGUGAGCCGCAUGGAGCCCCGGGCGGCGGACGGCUGCUUCCUGGGCGACGUGGGUUUCUGGGUGGAGCGGACCCCUGUGCAUGAGGCAGCCCAGCGGGGUGAGAGCCUGCAGCUGCAACAGCUGAUCGAGAGCGGCGCCUGCGUGAACCAGGUCACCGUGGACUCCAUCACGCCCCUGCACGCGGCCAGUCUGCAGGGCCAGGCACGGUGCGUGCAGCUGCUGCUGGCGGCUGGGGCCCAGGGAGUUCCGAAUGUGUGAGGCUUCUUAUUGACGUCGGGGCCAAUCUGGAAGCGCACGAUUGCCAUUUUGGGACCCCUCUGCACGUUGCCUGUGCCCGGGAGCAUCUGGACUGUGUCAAAGUGCUGCUCAAUGCAGGGGCCAACGUGAAUGCGGCAAAGCUUCAUGAGACGGCCCUUCACCACGCGGCCAAGGUCAAGAAUGUUGACCUCAUCGAGAUGCUUAUCGAGUUUGGCGGCAACAUCUACGCCCGGGACAACCGCGGGAAGAAGCCGUCUGACUACACGUGGAGCAGCAGCGCUCCCGCCAAGUGCUUCGAGUACUACGAAAAGACACCUCUGACUCUGUCACAGCUCUGCAGGGUGAGCUUGAGGAAGGCCACUGGCGUCCGAGGGCUGGAGAAGAUUGCCAAGUUAAACAUCCCGCCCCGGCUCAUUGAUUACCUCUCCUACAACUGAAUUGCAGGUGGGGUUUGGACCAUGACUGCCCCCGUUGUGCCCAGCAUUGCCCGGGUGAGGGCUCUGCCUGUUCCUCUGAAGCAGCGUGAUUGCUGUAGAUAGAACAACGCUCCUUCGAGUCCCUUCCUGCGAUCCUGUUUAGGCUUCUCUCCUGGAUCCUGGAUAAUGUUUCCAGGGUGUUAGGAAGGCCUGCGUCUCAGGUCACAAUUGUGGGUGUGGCCCUGCACUGUUCUACAGAACCUACCCUCUCAAUGGGCAUGGGCCCAACCAUCCAGUUUUCCUCUUUUACGGACCAUCCUCAAAGGCACUCUCAGGACAGAUGCGUGGGGAGCACAGAGGAGGCUGGCAGAGCUGGGGACUCAGGGCAUUGUUGCUGAUUCCCACUCGCCGGGGCAGCCUGCCGCAGAUGCACAGGCCCCAGGUGCAGGCCACCACCUCCGGGUCGGCACCAGGACUGCCCUCGGUGCUCAUAGGGAAUGGCUGGGCCCACGGAAGUUCGGCCUGGGAUGUGGCCUGGGACUGCUGCUCUGCUGGCUGCUGUGUGGAUGCUUUUCCUGGAGCACUUUCCAAGGCAUCCCCCAGCCCCAAGCCUGCGCGCAUCCGUCACUCAGGGGCUUUCUAUGGGUCUUUGUGGGGGAAGGCCCUGGCUUUGUAUUCCCCACAAGUAACACUGAGUUUCUUAGGAAAUUUGUCUUCAGUAUUAGGUCUCCAACUCUUGUAAAAAGUUUAUAUGUAGGAUAAAAACCUUUUAGAGGACACGUAGGUGGUACCACUAAGGUUUUGGUAAUGAGCCAUUCAAACCGACAGCAGUGUGAAGGUGUGUCAAGGUGUAUAUUCUCAUGGCUCGGCAUUCUCAGUGCAAAGGCCUGUUUGGAGACUCUGUGGGAAUUGUUUUUCAUCUGUUUCUGUGGUUGUCAAAUGAAUUCUUCACCCACCCUACAGUUUGCUAACUCCUUGAAGCUAUCAAAUUAGUAAGAGAGGCUGCCCGCACCCAGGGGGCACCAUCGCCCACUUAUUAUUUAGUUUUGCAGAUACUCAUGGACCAUCUAUCACAUCCAGCAUUGUCCCAGUGCUUUGAGUUGGACGGGAAUGGGACUCUGCAGCCAAGGCAGAAUAAGAAAAUCUUGCAAUCCCGUCCUGCAGUGAUAGAAACAGGUCGUUCUGCAUUAUAAGCCAUAGGUGGAGCAUUCGGUAGCGUAUUCAGACUGCACGGGCCGGCCUAGGAGUCUUUGUCUUCAUAAAUUUUAAGAACCCCGCCCACAACAGGGAGUUAAACUGGAGGACUUUGCAUGAUUAGUUCAGGGAUGAGUGGUUUCUGGGGCAUCUGAGGUCAGGAGUUCGAAACCAGCCUGGCCAACUUGAUGAAACCCCAUCUCUACCCGUUCUGGAGAACAGGUCACGCCUGUCCUGGAGACAGUGUGCCCGGAAAAGGGAACGUAGUACUCACUGGAUGCACCCAGGCCGGCCCGAGCCUCCCACCGCAGACAGUGUGGAACAGAGUGAGCCUGAGCUGCCCAAGGCGAUGCCCUUCGUGCUGUAUGACUGGAGGCCUCUCCGCGUGGGUACUUGGGGGUGGGGCCACAAAUCUGGCGAAAAACUUCAUGCUGGCCGCCGUGAGGUUUUUCUCCAGCGUUCCCGCCAUUGUCAUGGCGGGUCUUCAUCCUAAACUGAGAAGAAAAACAUUCCUGUUUGAUCACCGCCUUAGUUACCAGUUCUGGAUCAGUCAGUGUUUCUGCAUGGAAUAACAACCAUUAAAAAAAGCACUGGGUUCUGCCCUUUCAUCUUUGUAAGAGAUUCUUGCCUCUAGCAAUGACAUCCUGUGAUGUCUCACAGUAGAGCACUUAGCGCAGAAUCAGGUCCCCACGGCUGUUGCUCAAUAAAAGUGGCGGAAUAAAGUGC